CAAGUAGCGGAGCAUGUGGUUUAAUUCGAAGCAACGCGAAGAACCUUACCUAAGCUUGACAUACUUAUGACCGAUACCUAAUAGUAUUUUUUCCUUCGGGGACAUGAGAUACAGGUGGUGCAUGGUUGUCGUCAGCUCGUGUCGUGAGAUGUUGGGUUAAGUCCCGCAACGAGCGCAACCCUUGCCUUUAGUUGCCAGCAUUAAGUUGGGCACUCUAGAGGGACUGCCAGGGAUAACCUGGAGGAAGGUGGGGAUGACGUCAAAUCAUCAUGCCCCUUAUGCUUAGGGCUACACACGUGCUACAAUGGGUGGUACAGAGGGCAGCCAAGUCGUGAGGCGGAGCUAAUCCCUUAAAGCCAUUCUCAGUUCGGAUUGUAGGCUGAAACUCGCCUACAUGAAGCUGGAGUUACUAGUAAUCGCAGAUCAGAAUGCUGCGGUGAAUGCGUUCCCGGGGUCUUGUACACACC
This 467-nucleotide ribosomal RNA is filed under the name uncultured bacterium. Its description in RNAcentral is "bacterial SSU rRNA". It matches the Rfam family "Bacterial small subunit ribosomal RNA", at positions 926 to 1391 of the family's 1533-position model. The record is from RNAcentral.